AAUAUUGGACAAUGGGGGCAACCCUGACCCAGCCAUGCCGCGUGCGUGAAGAAGGUCUUCGGAUUGUAAAGCACUUUAAGUUGGGAGGAAGGACUUUAGGUUAAUACCCUGAAGUUUUGACGUUACCAACAGAAUAAGCACCGGCUCACUCUGUUCCAUCAGCCGCGGUAAUACAGAGGGUGCAAUCGUUAAUCGGAAUGACUGGGCGUAAUGCGCGCGUAGGUGGUUCAGUAAGAUGGGUGUGAAAUCCCCGGGCUUAACCUGGGAACUGCUUUCAUAACUGCUGAGCUAGAGUACGGUAGAGGGUAGUGGAAUUUCCUGUGUAGCGGUGAAAUGCGUAGAUAUAGGAAGGAACACCAGUGGCGAAGGCGACUACCUGGACUGAUACUGACACUGAGGUGCGAAAGCGUGGGGAGCAAAC
Molecule: ribosomal RNA, 421 nt
Filed under: uncultured bacterium
Lineage: Bacteria
Description: partial 16S ribosomal RNA
Rfam family: Bacterial small subunit ribosomal RNA
Source: RNAcentral